GAGGGGUUUCGUUCCAGGACUUGGUUGUGGGAGGGGUUUCGUUCCAGGACUUGGUUGUGGGAGGGGUUUCGUUCCAGGACUUGGUUGUGGGAGGGGUUUAGUUCCAGGACUUGGUUGUGGGAGGGGUUUAGUUCCAGGACUUGGUUGUGGGAGGGGUUUCGUUCCAGGACUUGGUUGUGGGAGGGGUUUAGUUCCAGGACUUGGUUGUGGGAGGGAUUUCGUUCCAGGACUUGGUUGUGGGAGGGGUUUAGUUCCAGGACUUGGUUGUGGGAGGGGUUUUGGGACAUAUAUUAUGGUAUGUUGGGGUGAGGGACUUAUCUACUGAGCGUAUAAUUAUUUGUGGGCGGAGAAACAGGGUGUUACAUGUAGUUCUCAACUCAUGCAAUGUGGCAAGUUCAGGUUGUGAACUAACCUGGUCUAGUCCUCCACCUGUGUUCAGGUUGGGAAUUAACCUGGUCUAGUCCUCUACCUGUGUUCAGGUUGUGAAUUAACCUGGUCUAGUCCUCUACCUGUGGUCAGGUUGUGAACUAACCUGGUCUAGUCCUCUACCUGUGUUCAGGUUGUGAAUUAACCUGGUCUAGUCCUCUACCUGUGUUCAGGUUGGGAAUUAACCUGGUCUAGUCCUCUACCUGUGUUCAGGUUGGGAACUAACCUGGUCUAGUCCUCUACCUGUGUUCAGGUUGGGAACUAACCUGGUCUAGUCCUCUACCUGUGUUCAGGUUGGGAACUAACCUGGUCUAAUCCUCUACCUGUGGUCAGGUUGUGAACUAACCUGGUCUAGUCCUCUACCUGUGGUCAGGUUGUGAAUUAACCUGGUCUAGUCCUCUACCUGUGGUCAGGUUGUGAACUAACCUGGUCUAGUCCUCUACCUGUGGUCAGGUUGUGAAUUAACCUGGUCUAGUCCUCUACCUGUGGUCAGGUUGGGAAUUAACCUGGUCUAGUCCUCUACCUGUGUUCAGGUUGGGAAUUAACCUGGUCUAGUCCUCUACCUGUGUUCAGGUUGGGAAUUAACCUGGUCUAGUCCUCUACCUGUGUUCAGGUUGGGAAUUAACCUGGUCUAGUCCUCUACCUGUGUUCAGGUUGGGAAUUAACCUGGUCUAGUCCUCUACCUGUGUUCAGGUUGGGAACUAACCUGGUCUAGUCCUCUACCUGUGUUCAGGUUGGGAAUUAACCUGGUCUAGUCCUCUACCUGUGUUCAGGUUGGGAAUUAACCUGGUCUAGUCCUCUACCUGUGUUCAGGUUGGGAACUAACCUGGUCUAGUCCUCUACCUGUGGUCAGGUUGGGAACUAACCUGGUCUAGUCCUCUACCUGUCUACAUGGUAAAGAUCUUGUGCUUGACAACAUUGCUUGAUUCAUUUGUGGUUCGACAUCAGUCUCUCUUGAUUGGAGGAGGCAGCAUCGAGCGGUUUUAGUCUGUAGCCAGGCGACUGACGGCAGGAGCAUUAGGGGAUAGUCCUGAUGGCGUCUUAUCGAUGGUGGGUUGGCGUGGUCGUUGUUCUGCUCCCCAAAUGGCACCCUAUUCCCUAUGAAGUACACUACUUUUAGACCAGAACCCUAUGGAGCUUGGUCAAACACCCGUGCACUAUGUAGGGAGU
Oncorhynchus gorbuscha (pink salmon) is the source of this 1596-nucleotide long non-coding RNA. RefSeq lists it as uncharacterized. The record is from RefSeq and is a predicted model, not a curated record. NCBI's taxonomy places the organism in Eukaryota, Metazoa, Chordata, Actinopteri, Salmoniformes, Salmonidae. The transcript is spliced from 3 exons.